Molecule: ribosomal RNA, 497 nt
Filed under: uncultured bacterium
Lineage: Bacteria
Description: partial 16S ribosomal RNA
Rfam family: Bacterial small subunit ribosomal RNA
Source: RNAcentral
GAUGAACGCUGGCGGCGUGCCCAAUACAUGCAAGUCGAGCGAACGGACGAGAAGCUUGCUUUUCUGAUGUUAGCGGCGGACGGGUGAGUAACACGUGGAUAACCUACCUAUAAGACUGGGAUAACUUCGGGAAACCGGAGCUAAUACCGGAUAAUAUUUUGAGCCGCAUGGUUCAAAAGUGAAAGACGGUCUUGCUGUCACUUAUAGAUGGAUCCGCGCUGCAUUAGCUAGUUGGUAAGGUAACGGCUUACCAAGGCAACGAUGCAUAGCCGACCUGAGAGGGUGAUCGGCCACACUGGAACUGAGACACGGUCCAGACUCCUACGGGAGGCAGCAGUAGGGAAUCUUCCGCAAUGGGCGAAAGCCUGACGGAGCAACGCCGCGUGAGUGAUGAAGGUCUUCGGAUCGUAAAACUCUGUUAUUAGGGAAGAACAUAUGUGUAAGUAACUGUGCACAUCUUGACGGUACCUAAUCAGAAAGCCACGGCUAACUACGUG